This 324-nucleotide ribosomal RNA is filed under the name uncultured bacterium. Its description in RNAcentral is "bacterial SSU rRNA". It matches the Rfam family "Bacterial small subunit ribosomal RNA", at positions 28 to 334 of the family's 1533-position model. The record is from RNAcentral.
GACGAACGCUGGCGGCGUGCUUAACACAUGCAAGUCGAACGGAGUACCCUCGAAAGAGAUUUCGGUCAAUGGAGAGGACUACUUAGUGGCGGACGGGUGAGUAACGCGUGAGGAACCUGCCUUUCAGAGGGGGACAACAGCUGGAAACGGCUGCUAAUACCGCAUAACGCAUAGGUAUCGCAUGGUACAGAUGCCAAAGAUUUAUCGCUGAGAGAUGGCCUCGCGUCUGAUUAGCUGGUUGGUAGGGUAACGGCCUACCAAGGCGACGAUCAGUAGCCGGACUGAGAGGUUGGCCGGCCACAUUGGGACUGAGAUACGGCCCAG